UACGUAGGAGGCAAGCGUUAUCCGGAUUUAUUGGGUUUAAAGGGUGCGUAGGCGGCGAGUUAAGUCAGCGGUAAAAGCCCGGGGCUCAACCCCGGCGAGCCGUUGAAACUGCCGUGCUAGAGAGGAAGAGAAGUAGGCGGAAUGCGCAGUGUAGCGGUGAAAUGCUUAGAUAUUGCGCAGAACCCCGAUUGCGAAGGCAGCCUUCCGGCGCCCUACUGACGCUGAGGCACGAAAGUGCGGGGAUCGAACAGG
This 252-nucleotide ribosomal RNA is filed under the name uncultured Bacteroidales bacterium. Its description in RNAcentral is "partial 16S ribosomal RNA". It matches the Rfam family "Bacterial small subunit ribosomal RNA", at positions 524 to 776 of the family's 1533-position model. The record is from RNAcentral. Lineage: Bacteria; Pseudomonadati; Bacteroidota; Bacteroidia; Bacteroidales.